UACGUAGGGUGCAAGCGUUAAUCGGAGUUACUGGGCGUAAAGCGUGCGCAGGCGGUGAUGUAAGACAGUUGUGAAAUCCCCGGGCUCAACCUGGGAACUGCAUCUGUGACUGCAUUGCUGGAGUGCGGCAGAGGGGGAUGGAAUUCCGCGUGUAGCAGUGAAAUGCGUAGAUAUGCGGAGGAACACCGAUGGCGAAGGCAAUCCCCUGGGCCUGUACUGACGCUCAUGCACGAAAGCGUGGGGAGAAAACAGG
This 253-nucleotide ribosomal RNA is filed under the name uncultured bacterium. RNAcentral's name for it is "partial 16S ribosomal RNA". It matches the Rfam family "Bacterial small subunit ribosomal RNA", at positions 524 to 776 of the family's 1533-position model. The record is from RNAcentral.